AGUGAACGCUGGCGGUAGGCCUAACACAUGCAAGUCGAACGGCAGCACAGUAAGAGCUUGCUCUUACGGGUGGCGAGUGGCGGACGGGUGAGGAAUACAUCGGAAUCUACUUUUUCGUGGGGGAUAACGUAGGGAAACUUACGCUAAUACCGCAUACGACCUACGGGUGAAAGCAGGGGAUCUUCGGACCUUGCGCGAUUGAAUGAGCCGAUGUCGGAUUGGCUAGUUGGCGGGGUAAAGGCCCACCAAGGCGACGAGCCGUAGCUGGUCUGAGAGGAUGAUCAGCCACACUGGAACUGAGACACGGUCCAGACUCCUACGGGAGGCAGCAGUGGGGAAUAUUGGACAAUGGGCGCAAGCCUGAUCCAGCCAUACCGCGUGGGUGAAGAAGGCCUUCGGGUUGUAAAGCCCUUUUGUUGGGAAAGAAAAGCAGCAGGUUAAUACCCCGCUGUUCUGACGGUACCCAAAGAAUAAGCACCGGCUAACUUCGUG
RNAcentral lists this ribosomal RNA (492 nucleotides) under uncultured bacterium. RNAcentral's name for it is "partial 16S ribosomal RNA". It matches the Rfam family "Bacterial small subunit ribosomal RNA", at positions 29 to 507 of the family's 1533-position model. The record is from RNAcentral.